GGUAUCAACCCAGAAUACAUGUUGGGGAGGAGCCCCCCUUCUACCUUUAAAAUGGGUAAUUUUUCAUAAUUUCAUGGCUUCGGCUUCGUCAAGAGAGCCCCCCUCUGAUAAAUUUAGUCCUACAGCACUAGUAAAAAGCAAGAAAAUACACCAAUAUUCAAACCU
Xenia sp. Carnegie-2017 is the source of this 165-nucleotide long non-coding RNA. RefSeq lists it as uncharacterized. The record is from RefSeq and is a predicted model, not a curated record. NCBI's taxonomy places the organism in Eukaryota, Metazoa, Cnidaria, Anthozoa, Malacalcyonacea, Xeniidae. The transcript is spliced from 3 exons.